Molecule: unclassified non-coding RNA, 355 nt
Filed under: Melitaea cinxia (Glanville fritillary)
Lineage: Eukaryota; Metazoa; Arthropoda; Insecta; Lepidoptera; Nymphalidae
Description: misc RNA ENSMCXG00005003388.1
Source: RNAcentral
GUCUAAUUAAUCGAGCUUUUAAUUCAAAAAUCGUAAAUCCAUUUUGUGACGAAGAAUUAAAAGACUACUGCGACGAACGCGUUCCUAAAAGUAACAAAGUCCUAAAUGGCGCCAGGAAAAAAACUGCUAGAAAACAAAAAAUACCAAACGAUGCUUCACUUGAAACUUCUGCAACUGCGAGUAUUAUAUGCGAAAAGCUCAACGAAUGGGAUUUGAAACAUCCUAAAUCUUUCAGUCCACCUGGACCAGUACCUAAAAUUGAAGACAGUAUUAUGAACUACAAAAUCGACCUGUGAAGAUUUCGUUUUAAUAUUCAAGCUUUUAUUAUUUUGGUUAAAUAAAUUUUUGUGGUGCG